AGCUUCCUGUUAGGUUUGGCCAGUGGGAGGUACCACCAAGAAACUGGAGGAGGUUAGAACUUGUUCUGCCAGGUCUCUGAAUUGACUGCCUUUCUCUACCAAAGCUGUGGCUGCUCCGGCUCCUACAGGCAGCUCCUUCCAAACAAUCACUUCUCGUGGCAGCAAGCAGUCCCCCUACAAGUCCCCUCAGGCUUGAGAACUAAUGAUUCCUGCUAGAACUAGCCCCACGGGUACUGUGUUGUUCCUAAUCCCUGCCCUAU
Molecule: long non-coding RNA, 260 nt
Filed under: Marmota monax (woodchuck)
Lineage: Eukaryota; Metazoa; Chordata; Mammalia; Rodentia; Sciuridae
Source: RNAcentral